CUAUAAGUUUUUUUUGGUGGUUUUAAACCUCCUACUGGGGUUCUUGGGCGGGUGACGGGGGCCUCACCCUGAGUGUGGCACGCCCCCCUUCCGUCCUUCCGUCGGGCGUGCGACCUUCCGGCCCCCUGUCGGCUCUAUCUUUUACCCCGUUAAUUUUAGGAAGUUACAGGGUGGCUAGCGCCGGACUACCUUGGCUAUGAAAAAUGGAAUUAGACUUUUGCCUCUUCCGUGGAUCUCAUGGGUUCCAGGAACGGUAAAUAUGAAUAGGUGGGGGCGUUGGUAUUUAACUGUCAAAGGUGAAAUUGACGAAUCUGGAAAAGACUAACUGGUGCUAAAGCAUUUGCCAAUGAUGUAUUCCUUUUUCAAGAACGAAAUCUAUGGGAUCCAAAACGAUCAGAUACCGUCAUAGUCUUAGCCAUAACCAAUGACGACUUUUACUCGACGGCUCGAGUUAUCCUGCUUCGAUCCUUUCUGCAACAUCCCAGAAUUUGAAUUCUGGGGGGACCAUGGGCGCUUGGGUCACCUUCAGGACUUGACGGAAUGGCACAACGGCCGCGCACUUGCGGAUCAUGUGACUCACAUGGCCAUACUUUCACGUUUAGCAUACUAGGCUCGACAGAGUUUACCUCUUCCUGAUUUGUUCGUGGUCUGUUUGGCCGGCUUAGCGGGUAGUGUCUUGUCGGUAAUGACGUUAAUAAUCAUUACUUAACCUAAUUUAAAAACCUGGCAGUCUUGUUUCC
Molecule: ribosomal RNA, 740 nt
Filed under: uncultured eukaryote
Lineage: Eukaryota
Description: bacterial SSU rRNA
Rfam family: Eukaryotic small subunit ribosomal RNA
Source: RNAcentral